Molecule: ribosomal RNA, 519 nt
Filed under: uncultured bacterium
Lineage: Bacteria
Description: bacterial SSU rRNA
Rfam family: Bacterial small subunit ribosomal RNA
Source: RNAcentral
GGACGAAAGUCUGACGGAGCAACGCCGCGUGAGUGAAGAAGGUUUUCGGAUCGUAAAACUCUGUUUUCAGGGACGAAUGUGCAAUAUGUGAAUAAUGUGUUGUAAUGACGGUACCUGACAAGAAAGCCACGGCUAACUACGUGCCAGCAGCCGCGGUAAUACGUAGGUGGCAAGCGUUGUCCGGAAUUAUUGGGCGUAAAGCGCGCGCAGGUGGGAUAAUAAGUCUGAUGUUAAAGUUCGGGGCUCAACCCCGUGAAGCAUUGGAAACUAUUAUUCUUGAGUGCAGGAGAGGAAAGUGGAAUUCCUAGUGUAGCGGUGAAAUGCGUAGAUAUUAGGAGGAACACCAGUGGCGAAGGCGACUUUCUGGACUGUGUCUGACACUGAGGCGCGAAAGCCAGGGUAGUGAACGGGAUUAGAUACCCCGGUAAUCCUGGCCGUAAACGAUGGGUACUAGGUGUUGGGGGUAUCGACCCCUCCAGUGCCGGAGUUAACGCAAUAAGUACCCCGCCUGGGGAGUAC